Molecule: long non-coding RNA, 563 nt
Filed under: Homo sapiens (human)
Lineage: Eukaryota; Metazoa; Chordata; Mammalia; Primates; Hominidae
Description: non-protein coding lnc-ZNF345-29:1
Source: RNAcentral
CCUUCUGUGUUGCCUGGAAACGGACUGUUCGCCUAGUAACAUCUGAUCACGUUUCCCAUUGGUCACCGUUUCCGGAAGCCCGCUCUCCCGUUUCCGGAAUCCCCGCAGGCGCUGGGUCUGCAGAUGGCGUCCAGGUACACAGUGGCGAGUGUGAUUCCGCAGUCUUGGGCUGUUUGGCCAAGCGCCCGCCGGACAUGGUACGCCGAAGGGUCAUCGGCGUGGAGUCCUCGCUUUCAGCGUCCGCGGCUGGGAAAUCGGCCAUCGCUACGGCGGGAACUGGGACUCGGGCUGCGUCCCGGCCCUUCCACAUCGGUCCACCGCACUCGUGGGCGCCCGCAUUGGUGCUGACAUAAUUUCCUGACCUCUGACCCGUAUUGUCUCGCGAUUAAAGGUCCAGAUUUGGAACAAAUCUCUCUAGAGAUUGAACAGAGCUGCGCCUGGAUCCCUCAGCAGUGAGGAGACCUGAAGACCAGAGGAAACACAGCAAACGGAGCCUUGCUCUGUUGCCCAGGCUGGUGUGUAGUGAUCUCAGCUCACUGCAAGCUCCACCUUCCGGGUUCACA